Molecule: small nucleolar RNA, 217 nt
Filed under: Henningerozyma blattae CBS 6284
Lineage: Eukaryota; Fungi; Ascomycota; Saccharomycetes; Saccharomycetales; Saccharomycetaceae
Source: RNAcentral
CACAUAUUUUAACUACCCUUCCGGAAUACCACGCCCUGACAUUAACACCUCCGUAUGUCAAUUCGCACAAAUGGCUGGAAGUAGAAAAAUGAUGGUCUAUCUUGACUUCUUCAAUGCUCGUUACUCCUUUAUGGGGUGUAAUCUAGUUUUUACGAUAUAUGAUGCUCUCGGGUAUUAUAUUCAGUUGUAACUAUUGGUUCGCUGCGAGUGUAUAUUU